This 423-nucleotide long non-coding RNA is filed under the name Rattus norvegicus (Norway rat). RNAcentral describes it as "long non-coding RNA NONRATT027615". Lineage: Eukaryota; Metazoa; Chordata; Mammalia; Rodentia; Muridae. The record is from RNAcentral.
GCGCAUCCCUAACCGGUGCAACCCGCGCCCUCCUGUUGCUGGAAAAGGCAGUUUCCCUUGCUGGAGGGGGCUGCCGACCCCUCCCCCUCCGCCUGGGCCUCACGCCAGUUUGGAGGUGAGCGAGGGAGGAGGGAGGAGGCAGCUCCUACUGGGGCUGGGCGUUGGCAAGGACAGCGGGUGGUGUGGGUCUCCUCGCGUCUCCGGAUUUGACGGGAUCAUAGCGGAAAGACGACCGAUGGAAAAGUUCUACAAUAGUAACAGCUUAUGUGGUGUACUAGAGUCAGGUGGAGAGAGCCUGGCACCUUGGAGCUUUUCUUUAAGCCUGUCUAGUAGACAGGCGCUCCUGGGUCUGGGCUUCCCUUGCAUGGCACGCAGCGGUGUCGUGUGUUAUUCUUGGCUCUUUAUCCCGUUCUGUCCCAGCCA